Molecule: ribosomal RNA, 253 nt
Filed under: uncultured bacterium
Lineage: Bacteria
Description: partial 16S ribosomal RNA
Rfam family: Bacterial small subunit ribosomal RNA
Source: RNAcentral
UACGUAGGGGGCAAGCGUUGUCCGGAAUCAUUGGGCGUAAAGCGCGUGUAGGCGGCCCAGUAAGUCCGCUCUGAAAGCCCGGGGCUCAACCCCGGGAGGCGGGUGGAUACUGCUGGGCUCGAGUCCGGAAGAGGCGAGUGGAAUUCCUGGUGUAGCGGUGAAAUGCGCAGAUAUCAGGAGGAACACCGAUUGCGAAGGCAGCUCGCUGGGACGGUACUGACGCUGAGACGCGAAAGCGUGGGGAGCGAACAGG